RNAcentral lists this ribosomal RNA (1333 nucleotides) under uncultured bacterium. RNAcentral describes it as "bacterial SSU rRNA". It matches the Rfam family "Bacterial small subunit ribosomal RNA", at positions 28 to 1382 of the family's 1533-position model. The record is from RNAcentral.
GACGAACGCUGGCGGCGCGCCUAACACAUGCAAGUCGAACGAGAGAUGAGGAGCUUGCUCUUCAAAUCGAGUGGCGAACGGGUGAGUAACGCGUGAGGAACCUGCCUCAAAGAGGGGGACAACAGUUGGAAACGACUGCUAAUACCGCAUAAGCCCACGGCUCGGCAUCGAGCAGAGGGAAAAGGAGCAAUCCGCUUUGAGAUGGCCUCGCGUCCGAUUAGCUAGUUGGUGAGGUAACGGCCCACCAAGGCGACGAUCGGUAGCCGGACUGAGAGGUUGAACGGCCACAUUGGGACUGAGACACGGCCCAGACUCCUACGGGAGGCAGCAGUGGGGAAUAUUGCACAAUGGGGGAAACCCUGAUGCAGCGACGCCGCGUGGAGGAAGAAGGUCUUCGGAUUGUAAACUCCUGUUGUUGAGGAAGAUAAUGACGGUACUCAACAAGGAAGUGACGGCUAACUACGUGCCAGCAGCCGCGGUAAAACGUAGGUCACAAGCGUUGUCCGGAAUUACUGGGUGUAAAGGGAGCGCAGGCGGGAGAACAAGUUGGAAGUGAAAUCCAUGGGCUCAACCCAUGAACUGCUUUCAAAACUGUUUUUCUUGAGUAGUGCAGAGGUAGGCGGAAUUCCCGGUGUAGCGGUGGAAUGCGUAGAUAUCGGGAGGAACACCAGUGGCGAAGGCGGCCUACUGGGCACCAACUGACGCUGAGGCUCGAAAGUGUGGGUAGCAAACAGGAUUAGAUACCCUGGUAGUCCACACCGUAAACGAUGAUUACUAGGUGUUGGAGGAUUGACCCCUUCAGUGCCGCAGUUAACACAAUAAGUAAUCCACCUGGGGAGUACGACCGCAAGGUUGAAACUCAAAGGAAUUGACGGGGGCCCGCACAAGCAGUGGAGUAUGUGGUUUAAUUCGACGCAACGCGAAGAACCUUACCAAGUCUUGACAUCCCUUGACGAUGCUGGAAACAGUAUUUCUCUUCGGAGCAAGGAGACAGGUGGUGCAUGGUUGUCGUCAGCUCGUGUCGUGAGAUGUUGGGUUAAGUCCCGCAACGAGCGCAACCCUUAUGGUCAGUUACUACGCAAGAGGACUCUGGCCAGACUGCCGUUGACAAAACGGAGGAAGGUGGGGAUGACGUCAAAUCAUCAUGCCCUUUAUGACUUGGGCUACACACGUACUACAAUGGCGUUAAACAAAGAGAGGCAAGACCGCGAGGUGGAGCAAAACUCAGAAACAACGUCCCAGUUCGGACUGCAGGCUGCGACUCGCCUGCACGAAGUCGGAAUUGCUAGUAAUCGUGGAUCAGCAUGCCACGGUGAAUACGUUCCCGGGCCUU